UGCCUGGUGGUCCAGUGCUUAGGACUUGGCACUUUCACAGCUGAGGGCCAGGUUCAAUCCCUGGUUAGGGAA
RNAcentral lists this transfer RNA (72 nucleotides) under Bos taurus (domestic cattle). It matches the Rfam family "tRNA". Rfam says of the family: Transfer RNA (tRNA) molecules are approximately 80 nucleotides in length. Their secondary structure includes four short double-helical elements and three loops (D, anti-codon, and T loops). RNAcentral also lists the same sequence under 5 other names. Lineage: Eukaryota; Metazoa; Chordata; Mammalia; Artiodactyla; Bovidae. The record is from Rfam by way of RNAcentral.